AUGAAGUCGGAAUUGCUAGUAAUCGCGGAUCAGCAUGCCGCGGUGAAUACGUUCCCGGGCCUUGUACACACCGCCCGUCACACCAUGGGAGCCGGUAAUACCCGAAGUCAGUAGUCCAACCACGUGAGGACGCUGCCGAAGGUAGGAUUGGCGACUGGGGUGAAGUCGUAACAAGGUACC
RNAcentral lists this ribosomal RNA (180 nucleotides) under uncultured bacterium. RNAcentral's name for it is "partial 16S ribosomal RNA". It matches the Rfam family "Bacterial small subunit ribosomal RNA", at positions 1320 to 1500 of the family's 1533-position model. The record is from RNAcentral.